Molecule: ribosomal RNA, 465 nt
Filed under: uncultured bacterium
Lineage: Bacteria
Description: partial 16S ribosomal RNA
Rfam family: Bacterial small subunit ribosomal RNA
Source: RNAcentral
GACGAACGCUGGCGGCGUGCUUAACACAUGCAAGUCGAACGGAAAGGCCCUGCUUGCCGGGCACUCGAGUGGCGAACGGGUGAGUAACACGUGGGUGAUCUGCCCUGCACUUCGGGAUAAGCCUGGGAAACUGGGUCUAAUACCGGAUAGGAGCCAUUUUUAGUGUGAUGGUUGGAAAGUUUUUUCGGUGUAGGAUGAGCUCGCGGCCUAUCAGCUUGUUGGUGGGGUAAUGGCCUACCAAGGCGGCGACGGGUAGCCGGCCUGAGAGGGUGGACGGCCACAUUGGGACUGAGAUACGGCCCAGACUCCUACGGGAGGCAGCAGUGGGGAAUAUUGCACAAUGGGCGCAAGCCUGAUGCAGCGACGCCGCGUGGGGGAUGACGGCCUUCGGGUUGUAAACUCCUUUCGCUAGGGACGAAGCUUUUUGUGACGGUACCUAGAUAAGAAGCACCGGCUAACUACGUG